This 254-nucleotide ribosomal RNA is filed under the name uncultured bacterium. Its description in RNAcentral is "partial small subunit ribosomal RNA". It matches the Rfam family "Bacterial small subunit ribosomal RNA", at positions 26 to 285 of the family's 1533-position model. The record is from RNAcentral.
AGGACGAACGCUGGCGGCGUGCUUAACACAUGCAAGUCGAGCGGAAAGGCCCCUCGGGGUACUCGAGCGGCGAACGGGUGAGUAACACGUGAGCAAUCUGCCCUUAGCUUCGGGAUAGCUCCGGGAAACCGGAAUUAAUACCGGAUAUGACUAUGGCUGACAUCAGCCACGGUGGAAAGUUUUUCGGCUAGGGAUGAGCUCGCGGCCUAUCAGCUAGUUGGUGGGGUAACGGCCUACCAAGGCGACGACGGGUA